Molecule: ribosomal RNA, 253 nt
Filed under: uncultured bacterium
Lineage: Bacteria
Description: partial 16S ribosomal RNA
Rfam family: Bacterial small subunit ribosomal RNA
Source: RNAcentral
UACGAAGGGGGCUAGCGUUGUUCGGAAUUACUGGGCGUAAAGCGUGCGCAGGCGGCUUCUCAAGUCAGGGGUGAAAGCCCAGAGCUCAACUCUGGAAUUGCCUUUGAGACUGAGUGGCUUGAGUACGAGAGAGGUGAGUGGAAUUCCGAGUGUAGAGGUGAAAUUCGUAGAUAUUCGCAAGAACACCAGUGGCGAAGGCGGCUCACUGGCCCGAUACUGACGCUGAGGCACGAAAGCGUGGGGAGCAAACAGG